RNA transcript from Beta vulgaris subsp. vulgaris (sugar beet), 776 nucleotides. RefSeq lists it as uncharacterized. The transcript has 3 exons. NCBI's taxonomy places the organism in Eukaryota, Viridiplantae, Streptophyta, Magnoliopsida, Caryophyllales, Amaranthaceae. The record is from RefSeq and is a predicted model, not a curated record.
UUCGCCACGAUUCUAGAUUGUUCGAACUCCUCUCUCUAUUCUUGUUUUCUCUCCUUUUUAGAUCUCAAACCAUAAUUCCCUAAUCCUUCUCGCUCCUCUUUGAAAUCAAGAAUUAGGGAGGAAUUUUGGCAAAGUUAAAUCAAGAGGAAGAGAAGGGUGAGGAUGUUCGACAUUCAGAAAUGACCAAGGUUUGAUUUUUUUGGUUCAGCUCCUCUUACAGCGGUUCAGUUGCUUUGGGUGGACAUGAUUAUAUAUAUGGACACCUUAGCAGCCUUAGCACUAGCCACUGAACCACCUAAUGAUGAACUAAUGAAGCGGCCACCUGUUGGCAGAGACGCCUAUUUUAUAACCAACAGUAUGUGGAGAAACAUCAUCAGUCACAGCAUCUACCAAUUGGUAGCUCUUGGAGUUCUCCAAUUCGACGGAAAACACCUUCAUUUCAUACCUUUGUGUUCUGUCAGAGGUUGUUGUGGUGUCAUGAGGAGCAGGUUUUGAAUCAAUCUGAUGGUGAUGAUGUUUUUAGGGUGUGACAAUGAUGAAGAAGCUAUUGCAAGGAUGGAGGAAUCACCAUCAGGCAAAAGGGUGACAAGCAUCUUUCUUUAGUUUAGAUUUAUAAUUCUUACCUGUUUUUCACGGAACUUUUUGUAGAAUACUAAUUAUGGUGUCGUAAAGGCAUAUGAGAUUUUUUUUGCAAUUAUUAGCUAGUUGUUUAUACUUGUGUCAUGGCAUAUUAAUUUUUUAUUUGAUUAAUAAAAUUUCACUUUAUAUCCUUUUUA